RNAcentral lists this ribosomal RNA (94 nucleotides) under Stenotrophomonas maltophilia. Lineage: Bacteria; Pseudomonadati; Pseudomonadota; Gammaproteobacteria; Lysobacterales; Lysobacteraceae. The record is from RNAcentral. RNAcentral also lists the same sequence under 2 other names.
GAACCACCCGAUCCCAUCCCGAACUCGGAAGUGAAACGCAGCUGCGCCGAUGGUAGUGUGGCUCAAGCCAUGCGAGAGUAGGUCAUCGCCAGGG